Homo sapiens (human) is the source of this 690-nucleotide long non-coding RNA. NCBI's taxonomy places the organism in Eukaryota, Metazoa, Chordata, Mammalia, Primates, Hominidae. The record is from Ensembl.
AGAACUCUGGCUGAGAUACAUGAGGAACAAGAUGCAGUGGAAGAACACCAGCGAUCCCAGGAGACGCUCAACAGAAUAAACACACUUGAGACAUCAAAGAAAUAUCAUAUUAAGAGAACUGUUCAGAAAAUGGUGAAGACUGGCAGUCCAAAAUCAAGGUUGGUGUAUGGUGAAGCCUCUUCUCCUGGCUUUCAGAUCUCCAGCUUCUGUGCCCUUGCAUGGCUUUCUUUGGUGUGAAUGCCACGAAAAGAGCGAGUCUGGUAUCUCUUUCUCUUCUUAUAAAAACACCAGUCUUAUCAGAUUAGGGCUCCCUAAUUACUGGAACUUAUAAAUGUUACCUUCUAAGGAAAAAGAGUCUUUGCAGAUAUAAUUAAAUUAAAGAUCUUUAUAUGGAGAGAUUAUCCUGCAUUUUAUGGAUGGGCCCUGUAUGUAAUCACCAGUGCCCUCAUAAGAAAGGAGAUUUCAUGCACACAGAAGAGGAAGAGGCAAUGUGACCAUGGAGGCAAAGAUUGGAGUGAUGUGGACACAAGUCAAGGAAUGUCAGUGGUCACUAGUAGCUGAAAGAAGCAAAGAAUGGAUUCCCCUAGUGACUGUUGAUGGGGCACAGCCCUAAGUUUUGACCCAGUAAUAAUGAUUCUGGGCCUCUAGCCUCCAGAAUGAUGAGAAAAUAAAUUUCUGUUUUAAACUACC